This 108-nucleotide ribosomal RNA is filed under the name Clostridium homopropionicum. RNAcentral describes it as "16S rRNA. Bacterial SSU". It matches the Rfam family "Bacterial small subunit ribosomal RNA", at positions 1 to 107 of the family's 1533-position model. Lineage: Bacteria; Bacillati; Bacillota; Clostridia; Eubacteriales; Clostridiaceae. The record is from RNAcentral.
UUUAAAUUGAGAGUUUGAUCCUGGCUCAGGACGAACGCUGGCGGCGUGCCUAACACAUGCAAGUCGAGCGAGGGGAGUUCUUCGGAACAAACCUAGCGGCGGACGGGU